Molecule: non-coding RNA, 3234 nt
Organism: Meleagris gallopavo (turkey)
Lineage: Eukaryota; Metazoa; Chordata; Aves; Galliformes; Phasianidae
Source: RefSeq, a predicted model, not a curated record
GUCCCUUUCAACCCCAGCCAUUCUAUGAUUCUACGGAAAGCAGAAGAGAAAUGACAGUGGGGAUUUUCCUUUUAGUGAGGUUAUAAAGGGUUAUCCUCUCACCCUUCUUUGCAGACAUAUGUGAUUGAAAGGCAUUGUAUUUCUGGAAGAGGCCUCAAGCUGAUACAACUGAAAGCUGGCACAGAAGAGUCUGUAUCCCUGCCUUCUCCUAAAAUAUGCUCAACAGCAGUUGAACCACUUUGGAUCUGUGGUUAGAGCCCCAUUAAAAUCAGACAUCGCCUGAAACUGUGUGUAGAGCUGUGGUGGAGCCUGCCGACCCUGAGCAAGGAAUGCAGCUGAGUAUGAGACUUCUGCUCUGCUUCACGAGGAGAGGAACGUGCACAGAUGAAAUCAGCCAAAAUUACUGAUCUUCUGAAUAGACUUACCUUAAAAAUGAAGGCAGUGCCUUUAUGGGAAAUGCCAACGUGUUCUAACAUAACAUAUGCAAUUAAACUAAUUCUCCUCUUGUUUAAAAUGGGCUAAUAACUAUCACUGUUCCCACUUAAGUCAAUCUAUGUCUUUAAAUUUCAAUGAAAGAGAAAAGGAUCGGUGUUGUGUAAGUGAUGUAGCAAGCUGCUACAUACAAACGUAAUGCCAUUUGUGAGGCUUCAUUUUGUACUUUGUUGAAGGAAGUAACUCAGCCUCUGUGAGACAAUUAUUUGGGAAAGUGUGCCAGUUCUAUCAUCACUACAAAGAUAUCUUUCCGUGUGACAUUAGGAAGAGAGAGACCAUUUAGUGAAGGCUAAACUUUUCUGUCCUGGUGUAUUUCUGAAGCCACUGCUGUGUGUUCAUCUUCUGUGGUUUCUGUUUCAGUGUGGUUAAACAAAGAGUCGUGUAGGAUGAAUUCAGGAGAAGAAAUGCCAGAAAUCUGAAAUCCAAUGAGGUUCAGGUUCUGUGGAUGAUACACUGUUCCAGAUUCAUACAGAAUACACCACAAGAAAAUUUGGCAGAGUGUUUUUUGGGAUGAAGAUGUGAGUGUGCAUGUAAGAGUGGGACAGAGGAGAAAGGCACAAAAGGCUCUUGUGAAAAGUUUCUUUGUAUGUAGUAAUACUGGUGCAGAUGAAAGAAGAAGUAAAGAGAAUAUUGACUGCAAAUAGUUUUAAUCAAUGUUUAUCGCCAGCGCAGAGUCUUCAAAGAUUAGCAUGAGAGAGAAGAUUUUUGCCUGGGGAAACCAAUGUAGCAAGCAUUAUCUGAAAGGUGUUGAUGAAUCAGGUUUUUGUUUAUCCGUGCAUAUUGGGUACAUCUCCUUCCUAUUCGUGUUUAUUACAGUCUCUUUUGUUUUCCUCUUAAUCCAAUGUUUCUUAGAGGGCAAAAAUCAAAAAUUCCUCUGAGUGCAGAAGUCCUGGAAGUAUGGAUAAGACCUUUGAACAUACACAUGUGCAUCCUGAAAGACAUGUGCAUGCAUGCAUAUACACACAUGCAGAGCACAUGCAGCUGUUUAGUGCUGUCAUAUGCUAUAUGCUAUAUUUGUUUGUGUGGGUUUGUAGAUGCUUCUCUGUGCUCAGCUGUGUAAAGCAAGUUUGGAAGAAAGCUGGAGUUCAAUGGAGACGCACCAUCUUACAUGAUGUGAACUAGAAAUACCAAAGGUUAUCUCUGACAUUAGCAACUGGAGGGAGUCCUUUGUAACAUGGGUAUAGUAUAGCUACAUAAUUGGGAAUUCAGGUAGGUGUGGGAUGGAAACUUCCAGGGAUAGCUAAGUGCAAUUAGACUCUGGUAUGGCCAGAGAAUAAAGUAUCUGUUAAUUCAUAGGCUCUAAUACUUGAUAGAACAGCUUGAGUCUUUAAAACGUAUCAGAGCUUUGUGCCUAGGUUAGGCACCUGACAGCUGAUGCUAGUAUGUAUGCUACAUUUCAAGCAGCAGCAGUAUAAACAGUGCGAUAAUUUGUGCUUAGGAACAUCCUCACCUUUCAUCAAGCCUUCCAGAACUAUGAGGGUUCAACCCUUGCUUGCUCCUCUGGUGCCUGUUUUAUUUGAUGUCAGAUAAUUGAUACAGAUUACAUCUUCAGCAGUCUACCUGUUGAGGUCAGUUUGCAUUGGAUCAACAUUUACAUUCUACAGGCAUAUGGCAGAACCUGCAGAGAUCUCUAGUGAAGUUUCUGUUCUUCUUUAGGUGCACAGCCAAGAAUGUAACUUCGAUUUCCAGCAAAGACACAGUCUUAUUCUGGCAUUCAGCAGAAAGUAUAACCUCUGUAGGGGACCUCACUGCAGUUCCAACAGUGAAAAAACUGUAACCAUCAUGAACUAUGAUUUGUUUUCCGAAAAGGCUUGGCGAAUUUCCAUGAACACUAGGUAUCUGUCUAAGUUUGCAAGUUCCUCCAGCUGUCCUGGGGAGCUUGUAAGUUCCUUGAAACUCAUUUCUGUUCACAUGGCGAUUACAAGAUGUGACUGUUUUGCCAACAGAGCUGGUAAAUUCCAAGAACCUCAGAUACUAGAUUCACAGAAAUGACAACCCUGCUGGCCACACUGGUCAAGCUAGAAAUGUUUUUGAGUUUCAAGAGCUUUAGCUGUUUCUGCAUGCAAUUUACAAGUUGCAAUUGUGAAUCUACAUAAAGGACUUUGGCAACAAACAGGCGGAGCUCUUGGUGGUUACAAUCUCAGCCAGCACAGUGCAUUCACAGGGCUUGGAGAAGUUGCAGUGCUGAUGGUUUCUUAGCAGAGCCUGUAAGCCUAGAGUUCUCUGGACAGAAUGGCCUGAAACUGUCCUCCUGUUGAGUUAUCUGAGGAGAUCCUCAAAAUUCCAAGAUGGGAUAUAAUCAAUCGCAUCAUUAGAUGACCUUGUACUUUCUAUGGAGCCUAAAAUUACUGACUCAUAGAGGUAAUAACUCACGUGUAACAACUGGCAAGCUUGGGAGCCUUUCUAUAAUGUCCUCAUUUGAAGGAAGAUUGGAAACCACUGGAAUGAGAAUAUGAAUUCUGUGAACCUACUACAGAAAAUUCUAGAUGACAAGAAGUUUCUAGCUUCUGUCAGAAAGUUUUCCUUUGGUGAGAGAACAAAAAUAUUCAGAUGAAGAAGGGGAUUCUUAGUUUUAGAAAUUCAGUGUAAAUUAAAUAAAAUCUGAAUUUUGCAGUGAUUUUUUUUUUACAACCUUAAGCUAAUGUUCUGUCUUACAGAACGUAGAAGCUUAGAAGUUCCCUAUCGCUUUGAACUACUAAGUGCUUUUAGAAAGAAACAACACUGCAGUUAUAUUGUAUCUGA